Tyto alba (common barn owl) is the source of this 368-nucleotide long non-coding RNA. RefSeq lists it as uncharacterized. The transcript has 2 exons. The record is from RefSeq and is a predicted model, not a curated record. Lineage: Eukaryota; Metazoa; Chordata; Aves; Strigiformes; Tytonidae.
UUGGAGGAAGCUUCGGCACAAUUAGAGGAACAUGAUACUGGACGUGACCUCUGGUUGCGAUGGUGUAAAGUCCAACUGCUUUUUGAAUGGAGCUCAGGAAGGGCUUACUUAUCUGAUACCAAGAGACGCUGCUCGAUCUGAAAAGGAGGAGGCAGCCCAGAGUGAAGUGCUUAAACCUUGAAUAUGGACAAGAUUUAAGGCAGACCUGACUUCAGCUUUUACCAGUUAUCAGCAUAAACCUUCUGUCACAGGGCUGCUGGCCCAGACUUGGGAGUACAAGCCCGUGAGGGGACUGGACACCCAUAUUGUGUGAACAAUGCUGCUUAAACCUAGCGUGUCUAUUUAAAUAAAAUCUUUUGCAUACACCA